Molecule: transfer RNA, 91 nt
Filed under: Pseudomonas sp.
Lineage: Bacteria; Pseudomonadati; Pseudomonadota; Gammaproteobacteria; Pseudomonadales; Pseudomonadaceae
Also listed under: 3 other names
Description: tRNA-Ser
Rfam family: tRNA
About the family: Transfer RNA (tRNA) molecules are approximately 80 nucleotides in length. Their secondary structure includes four short double-helical elements and three loops (D, anti-codon, and T loops).
Source: RNAcentral
GGAGAGGUGGCCGAGUGGCCGAAGGCGCUCCCCUGCUAAGGGAGUACAUCUCACAAGGGUGUCGGGGGUUCGAAUCCCCCCUUCUCCGCCA